Molecule: RNA transcript, 6672 nt
Organism: Peromyscus californicus insignis
Lineage: Eukaryota; Metazoa; Chordata; Mammalia; Rodentia; Cricetidae
Gene: Snai2
Gene name: snail family transcriptional repressor 2
Exons: 5
Source: RefSeq, a predicted model, not a curated record
AGUCAGCUCGCGGGAACGCCUUCCCGCAAUGCUCAAGAACGGAAAUUUCCUCUUUUGAAAACAUUUAAUGUAUUUUGGGCCUCCCCUGCAACGCCUUAAACAGCCCAUUUUUAACCAGAAUAAUUUAGUCUGACAACAGAUUCUUCAUCUGUUCACAGCUGUCCCAGAAGGAGGAGCUGAAAUCCGAACCUCUCGGCUGUGAUUGGAUGUUUCUAGUAAAAGCCAGGGAGAAAUCCCCUCCCAGCCCAGAAGAGCUCAGUCGGGCAGAGAGCCGGGUGACUUCAGAGGCUCCCGCCUGUCCCCCGCCGCACCUGAGCCGCUGCGAUGCUGUAGGACCGCCGCCUGGACCGUUAUCCGCCCGCCCGCCGCCACCAUGCCGCGCUCCUUCCUCGUCAAGAAACAUUUCAAUGCCUCCAAGAAGCCCAACUACAGCGAACUGGACACACACACAGUGAUCAUUUCCCCGUAUCUCUAUGAGAGUUACCCCAUGCCUGUCAUACCAAAACCAGAGAUCCUCAGUUCAGGAGCAUACAGCCCUAUUACUAUGUGGACAUCGGCAGCUCCAUUCCACUCCCCUCUACCCAGUGGUCUUUCUCCUCUUACUGGAUACUCCUCACCCUUGGGGCGAGUAAGCCCCCCUCCUCCAUCUGAUACUUCAUCCAAAGACCACAGUGGUUCAGAAAGUCCCAUUAGUGAUGAAGAGGAAAGACUGCAAUCCAAGCUCUCAGACCCCCAUGCCACUGAAGCUGAGAAGUUUCAGUGCAAUUUAUGCAAUAAGACCUAUUCUACUUUCUCUGGGCUGGCCAAACAUAAGCAGUUGCAUUGUGAUGCCCAGUCUAGGAAAUCUUUCAGCUGCAAAUACUGUGACAAGGAAUAUGUGAGCCUGGGUGCCCUUAAGAUGCACAUUCGGACCCACACACUGCCUUGUGUCUGCAAGAUCUGUGGCAAGGCUUUCUCCAGACCCUGGCUGCUUCAAGGACACAUUAGAACUCACACAGGGGAAAAGCCUUUCUCUUGCCCUCAUUGCAACAGAGCUUUUGCAGACAGGUCAAACCUGAGGGCACAUCUGCAGACCCACUCUGAUGUAAAGAAAUACCAGUGCAAAAACUGCUCCAAAACCUUCUCCAGAAUGUCUCUUCUGCACAAGCAUGAGGAGUCUGGCUGCUGUGUGGCACACUGAGUGGCGUAACUAGUGUUUACUCGAACAGAAUACAUUUCAUCACUCCAAUGACAAAUGACAAAUGAAAGUCCAAAGCCAUUUUCUCUUGUGCUUACCUACCAAAUAAUAUGUACAGACACAAACAAGAGUCUCUCUCUCUCUCUCUCUCUCUCUCUCUCUCUCUCUCUCUCUCUCACACACACACACACACACACACACACACACACACACACACACACAUGAAACUACAGAACAGAAUCUAUAUGCUUAAAAUUAAUCCUUUCUAUGUGAAAUUUAAAGUUUUAUUUACUGACAGCUAGAUUGAAAGGCUAAAAGACAAGAACCUUUCUCUUUAAAGAUGAAGUGAAAAGCACAUUGCAUCUUUUCUUACUAAGAAAGAAUGCGGAGAUUUACAUUGCUGCCAAACCAUUUCAACUAAAAGGAACAGUAUUGCUUGUUAAUAGAGCUGUAAUAGUGUUUCCAAGAGGAAGAGAGUCUGCCAGAUGCUAUCUCAGGUGCCUUAUAAAAUACUCCAAGUUUACUUCCUUACAUGUCGGAUGUCUGGUUGUCAUCGGUGAAUGAAAGCCUUUUCUGGAUUACCUACAAUGCUUUAAACUCUAUUGUUAAGAGAAAAAAAAUAUGAGAAAAAGAACAGAACACAGGAGAAUGUAUUAAAAUAUUCUUGUUUUGUUUCAUUUUUGCCAUGUGUGCCUUGGAAGAGGAGGAAAGGACAAGCUUCAAACAUUCCUGGAAAUCUUUAGGUAUACACCAUGUGGAUUAGCAUUGCAGAAACGCAGAAGAGCAUGUGGACCAGAGCUGAGGACCGAACCCAGGGCCUUGCGCUUGCUAGGCAAGCGCUCUACCACUGAGCUAAAUCCCCAACUGAGUCACUCAUUCUUGUUCCUGCUCUUGGGUCAAUUUUCCUUCUGUUUGAUUGCCUUGCUAGCCUAAAUGUCAUGUUUUUUUGUUUAUCUUAUAUUUUUUUAUGUUUGUUGUUAAUAUCUUAGAAGCUUGUUCUUUUCUAAUGAGAGAUAGAAAGGGUGUGAAUCUGGAAGGGAGAGGAGGCAGAGAAACUGGGGGGAGUAGAGGGAAGGGAAACUGUAAUGAGGAUAUAUUACAUGAGAAAAGAAUCUAUUUUCAAUAAAAGGAAAAAAUGAAGAAAAAGUAAUCUGUAAGUUCUUGUUUCAUACUAAACUGUGCAAUAUUAACUGAUUUCCUGUCAGAACAUCUUCUGAUUGUAAGAUACUGCCCAGUUUUUAUCUGCAGGCUUCAAAUGACUCUCUGUGAUCAAUUAAAUGAAUUGUACAAUAUGUACUACUCUGAUGUCAGUAUCUAAUGGAACAGCUAGAACUAAUCUCAUGGCAUAUAAUCAAUAGACAUAGUGAGAAACCCAAAUCUACAAAACCAUCUGGCCAUUCAUAUUACAAUUUUGAAAAGCACAGGGUGCUACUCAUAAUCUCAUUAAUAACAGCUUCCAUAAUUACAGCAAUUAGGCUUAUAGUGGGCACCAAUCAUAAUGGCAUGGCAUUUAAUGCUUUAUUUAGAUGAUAUUAGUGUAGGUAUGAUUUCACAGUAAAUUAUAUGAUAAUGUAAGUCCGAACUGUCUGUGAUGCUGAGCUGUUAGGAUAUGAUUAUGUCAAAUAAAUCAUGCAAAAGCAGCUUGAUGUAAUUGCAGUAUAAUGUCAGAAAACAAAUUGCACUUAAAAACUGAACUAUAAAAUAGAUAAAGCAGUCUAUAUGGAAGGUGUUCCUCACCAAUGGUGAAUGUGUGUUGAAAGCAGACCAAGUGGAUUUUAGGCUAUGUGGCAGGGCCUUUUCACACGUCACAGCAUAGUUGAAUUGCUAGACUACACUAUGUCUCACAGAAGGAAAAAAGACCAGAGGCCAAAGUUCCACUCAGAAGCUGGAAGUUAGUUUCCAAUUCCUGACCAAGAACUUCUUCAGCAAUUUUAUAAUUAUGUAUCCCAAAUUAAAGUACCAGUUAUUCAUUAACCAAAAAUAACCAAUUAGAUUUCAAACUUAAAGCAAUGUAAAUAUGAAUGAUUCACAGGUCUUGUAAGCCUCCCUGCUCUCUCCUCUCUUCUCUUUUCCUCUUCCCUUCCCUUCUCUCUUCUCUCUCCCUCUCUCUCCUUCCCCCUCUCUUUCCCUCUCUCUCCCUCUCCCUCUCCAUCUCUCUCUCUCUCUCUCUCUCUCUCUCUCUCUCUCUCUCUCUUCCUCUCUCCUUGUCUCUCUCUAAUAAAACAGUUCUUUUCUAGAAUUUCAAUGUACUGUUGUUUUAAAUGUUAACACUGAACACUGCCUGUCUUAGUUUUAGGGUUUCUCUUGCUGUGAAGAAACACUAUGACCACAGCAGCUCUUAUAAAGGAAAUCAUUUAAGUGAAGUAGCUUGCUUACAUUUCAGAGCUUCAGUCCAUUAUCAUCAUGGAGAGACAUGAUGGUAUACAGGCAGACAGGUAGGUGAGAGUUCUACAUCUUGCAGGCAACAGGAAGUGGUUUGAGAUGCUGGGAAGUAUCUUAAUCAUAUAUGAGAUCUCAAAGACCUCCUUUGAGAUCCAGUGGCACACUUCCUCCAAUAAGGCCAUAUCUCCUAAUAGUGUCACUCCCUUUGGGGGCCAUUUUUCUUUUAAACCAUCACACUGCCCAACCUUAUGUAAUAUUACAUAUUGCUAAAUAUAUAAAUACAACCUGUUCAGGCCAGGAAAUGUUGCUUGUAUGUGUAAGUUUUAGGGUUAUCCACUUGGUAUUGUGCUGUGGAAUGUUUUGUAUGGCAAAUGUGUUGCUAAUUAGUUAAUAAAUAAAACACUGAUUGGCCAUUGGCUAGGCAGGAAGUGUAGGCGGGACAAGGAGGAGAAUAAAGCUGGGAAGUGGAAGGCUGAGUCUGAGAGACACUGCCAGCCGCCACGAUGAGAAACAGCAUGUGAAGAUGCCGGUAAGCCACGAGCCAUGUGGCAAGGUAUAGAUUAAUGGAGAUGGAUUAAUUUAAGCUGUAAGAACAGUUAGCAAGAAGCCUGCCACGGCCAUACAGUUUGUAACCAAUAUAAGUCUCUGUGUUUACUUGGUCGGGUCUGAGCGACUGUGGGACUGGCAGGUGAUAGAGAUUUGUCUUGACUGUGGGCCAGGCAGGAAAACUCUAGCUACAAAUGGCGCCCAACGUGGUGGCAAGAGUUUCCACCUAAAACCUGAGAAAAGAUUCUAAAACGGAGCUAAAAACAGUUCCUAAUUGUCUCUCUCAAAUGAGCGGCAGCUGCUGGUUUGAGCUACUGGUGGGUUCCUAGCGUGCGUGCUCGACCUGCCUAUGGCGGGAAUGAGGCCUUUGCAAGUGGCACUUUGAGCUGCAUGGUGGAUUUAGCCUUUGCUGGUGCAGAGCAAAAGGGGAGGUUUCUGGGCUACACGCUGCUUGACUAAAAGCAUAGACCCACGAUAGCUCCCAGAGCUGGUGGUAAACGUAGCCAUGUUGGGAAGCUAAGGUGGGUGGAGCCAGCAGCUACAGCUGCUGCAGUUUAAGGCAAUAGAUUCACAAUAAGACAGAUUCAGAUGUAAUAGUUUACAAUGUAUGUAAAAUAUACGUAGGCUUGAAAGAGACAAAAAAGGUGAUAUAUAGAGUUAUAGAAACAAAUACAUAGUUUUAAAAAAUAAAGUCUUUAAAGAGACAGUAAAGGUAGUAUAAAAAAUAAGCCACGUAAAAAUGGAUAUUACACAGAGAAUCUGGAUUGUGUUGUCUUUGGGACUUUUAACUGCAGAAAAACAUUUGAUUGUAAAAGCUGUUGAGUUAUGUCAAAAUGUAUACUUUAAAGGUACCUUGACUUCAAAAUUUGGAUAUAAGGAUAUGUUGCUUUGGAAAAGAGUCUCUUUUGUUUCCACAGAAAGCCAGAGGCUAUGGAUUUGUUCAAGAUUAAGAAACAUCAGGUUUGACCAGCCAAGACCCCCUGAAAGUCUCCGAUGACACCAUGGCCCAGAUGAUCCAACAUCCAGAAUGGUUUCAAGGCAACUGGCUCAGAUGAUACAGCCUCACAGACUAUUCCAUAAUCCUAAAAUUUUCUUUGUAUCCCCAUAAGAUACAGCGCCCCCCUCCAGCAGGAAGUAGUAAGAGAAGCUACGCCCAAAUUCCCAAAUUGUAUGUAAUUUUACUUUGUUAAGGUUAAAACCUUCCUUUUGAAAAAAAAAAGGGGGGGGAAGUGCUGUGGAAUGUUCUGUAUGGCAAAUGUGUUGCUAAUUAGUUAAUAAAUAAAACACUGAUUGGCCAUUGGCUAGGCAGGAAGUGUAGGCGGGACAAGGAGGAGAAUAAAGCUGGGAAGUGGAAGGCUGAGUCUGAGAGACACUGCCAGCCGCCACGAUGAGAAACAGCAUGUGAAGAUGCCGGUAAGCCACGAGCCAUGUGGCAAGGUAUAGAUUAAUGGAGAUGGAUUAAUUUAAGCUGUAAGAACAGUUAGCAAGAAGCCUGCCACGGCCAUACAGUUUGUAACCAAUAUAAGUCUCUGUGUUUACUUGGUCGGGUCUGAGCGACUGUGGGACUGGCAGGUGAUAGAGAUUUGUCUUGACUGUGGGCCAGGCAGGAAAACUCUAGCUACAGUAUUGGAUAACCAAUUGGUGUACUCUUCCACAAGGAAGACUAUUUUCCCAUUCUCCUCAUUCCUUAGUUCCCUGUAGUACUUUAGUCUAGGGUUGAGGUCUCAUGAACUUUCUCUAUUCCAUGUUAGCAAGGCUUGGUGUUUUCCUUGUUUAGGUCAUAUUUAGGAAGCUGUAUUGGUGAGACUUCAUGGGUAUAGCUUCUGAUAUUUGAAUGAGACACAAUCUCACAGCAAACUCCUUGUUCCUUUGGUUCUUAUAAUCUUUCCUCCCCUCUCUUUUGCAAUUAUCUCUGGGCCUUUGGCGCAGGAGUUGUAUUGUAGAUCCAUCUGUCAGGUGGUACUGAGCUCCAGAAGUCUGCAUGAUGAUUGAUUGUGUUUUUCUGUAAUGCUGUUCAUUUGUUGAAAAAAGUAGUUUUCUUGAUGAGGGCUGAAGACCACACUCAUCUAUGGGUAUAAGGGCAAAUGUAUAGAGUAUGGUUAAGGAUUAUUCUGGUUUAGGAAAAUGGCAGUUGUAGGUUCUCUACCAAUAUCAAUUACUUUAUUGACCCCUAGUAGUUGGAGAGAUUUCCUAUAUGAGUCAGGAUUUCCUUGUUGAGUAGAUCUUAAGUCUAAUUAGAGAGUUGUUGGUUAUCACUGCAAACCUACACAUAUCACUACUACACACUAAGGAUUAUGGUGCUACGCUGUCUUUUUGUUGUGAUUCAUAGGCCUUGCAGCAAUAUAAGUCUGUUGGUCACUUCCUCCAUUGGAAAUUUGCAUGGUAUGAUUUAGAACCACGAAAGCUAGUUCUCACAGAGGAGACUUUCAAGUUAGAAUGAACUUAGGUUCUUCAAGUCCUGCAUCUGAAGUGCAAGGUGUCAUCAGACUGCUGUGUCUUUGUCCUGUUAUUCACCUGAUUAAGGAGUCCAGAGCAUAUAAAAUGGAGCUAUGAUUGCUAAAAAAUAA